This 496-nucleotide ribosomal RNA is filed under the name uncultured bacterium. Its description in RNAcentral is "partial 16S ribosomal RNA". It matches the Rfam family "Bacterial small subunit ribosomal RNA", at positions 28 to 506 of the family's 1533-position model. The record is from RNAcentral.
GAUGAACGCUGGCGGCGUGCCUAAUACAUGCAAGUCGAGCGAACAGACGAGGAGCUUGCUCCUUUGACGUUAGCGGCGGACGGGUGAGUAACACGUGGGUAACCUACCUAUAAGACUGGGAUAACUUCGGGAAACCGGAUCUAAUACCGGAUAAUAUUUCGAACCGCAUGGUUCGAUAGUGAAAGAUGGCUUUGCUAUCACCUAUAGAUGGACCUGCGCCGUAUUAGCUAGUUGGUAAGGUAACGGCUUACCAAGGCAACGAUAGGUAGCCGACCUGAGAGGGUGAUCGGCCACACUGGAACUGAGACACGGUCCAGACUCCUACGGGAGGCAGCAGUAGGGAAUCUUCCGCAAUGGGCGAAAGCCUGACGGAGCAACGCGGCGUGAGUGAUGAAGGUCUUCGGAUCGUAAAACUCUGUUAUUAGGGAAGAACAAACGUGUAAGUAACUGUGCACGUCUUGACGGUACCUAAUCAGAAAGCCAUGGCUAACUACGU